CGUGCAAAUCGAGUUUAGUUAAAAUAAAUCAUAGAGACAAUAAUAUGAUAGAACCAUCUUAAUAAAUAAAAUAUUUAGUAUUAGUUAUAGAACUAUAUUUAACUUUAUCUCAAUAGCGCAAAGUACUGUAAAGGAAAUUUGAAAAAUUUAGUGAAUUAGAAAAAAGAAGAAAUUAUAAUUUGUACCUUGUGUAUCAGGGUUUAGCAAAAUAUAUUUAUUAUAAUUUUAUCCCGAAGUUAGGCGAGCUAUAGAUGAAAAAAGAUGUACAUAGUAUCUUACUCUUAUAUUCAUGUAUAGUAGUUAAAUGCUAAACGAGCCUUUUUAUCUGGUUCCUUAAGAAAAGGCUUUAAGCCUAAAAUUCAAUGAAGUCAUCAAGCUAAAAAAUGCUGGCUUUAUAGUUUUAUUUAGUUUAUGAGGGAUGAGCUUCAUAAACAAACUUAAAUUGGAAUAAGAGACACUAAGUGUCUUUUAAUAAAAAAAGAAUUAAAAAUAUUCUAUUUUAAAGUGUUUGUUUUAAUUCAUAUUUUAAAUUUUUAAUAUUUAAAGCUCUUUUUCUUUUUUAUUAAGGUAUUUCUCUUAAAGAUUAAGAGAAAAGAAAUGAUGCUAAAAUUAGUAGACAUAAUUGUUUAAAAAAUAUUGCAAGAUAAUAUUAAAAUUAUGAUAUUAAUUAAUUUUAUUUAAGGAACUCGGCAAAUUUAUCUUCCGCCUGCUCCUCUCAAGCAUCGUCUUUUGAAUUAAUAAAAGAUACCGCCUGCUCAAUGCUUUUAGUAAAUAGCCGCAGUAUUUUGACUGUGCGAAGGUAGCAUAAUCAUUUGUCUUUUAAUUGAAGGCCGGAAUGAAUGGCGAGACGAGAAGAUUUCUGUCUCAAAUAAAAUAAUCGAAUUUCACUUUUUAGUGCAAAGGCUAAAAUAUUUCCAGAGGACGAUCAGACCCUGCGGAGCUUAAGUUUUUUUCUUUUUACGAAAGAAUAUUAUCAUCUAAAAAGAAAAUAAUACUUUGGUUGGGGCGACAGGAAGAAAUAAAUACCACUGCUUUUUCUUAACAAAUAUUAAUGGAAAAUUGAUCCCUAAAGAAGGAUCAUAAGACUAAGUUACCCCAGGGAUAACAGCGUUAUCUUUUUGGAGAGUUCUUAUCGAUAAAAAGGGUUGCGACCUCGAUGUUGGAUCAAGGGAUCCUCAAGGUGCAGCAGCUUUGAAGGAAAGUCUGUUCGACUUUUAAAUCCUUACGUGAUCUGAGUUCAGACCGGCGUGAGCCAGGUCGGGUUCUAUCCUUGGAAAAGAGUUUCUUUUUCUAGUACGAGAGGACCGAAAGAGAGAAAUAAUUUCUUUAAAUGAAUAAAAUUAAAUUACUAAGUUUUACUCAACCUUGUGUUUAUGGUAC
RNAcentral lists this ribosomal RNA (1380 nucleotides) under Eurycercus lamellatus. Its description in RNAcentral is "16S ribosomal RNA". It matches the Rfam family "Bacterial large subunit ribosomal RNA", at positions 250 to 2827 of the family's 2925-position model. Lineage: Eukaryota; Metazoa; Arthropoda; Branchiopoda; Diplostraca; Eurycercidae. The record is from RNAcentral.